CCUACGGGGGGCAGCAGUGGGGAAUAUUGCUCAAUGGGGGAAACCCUGAAGCAGCAACGCCGCGUGGAGGAUGAAGGUUUUCGGAUUGUAAACUCCUUUUGUUAGAGAAGAUAAUGACGGUAUCUAACGAAUAAGCACCGGCUAACUCCGUGCCAGCAGCCGCGGUAAUACGGAGGGUGCAAGCGUUACUCGGAAUCACUGGGCGUAAAGGGCUCGUAGGCGGGAUAGCAAGUCAGAUGUGAAAUCCUAUGGCUUAACCAUAGAACUGCAUUUGAAACUGUUAUUCUAGAGUAUGGGAGAGGUAGGUGGAAUUCUUGGUGUAGGGGUGAAAUCCGUAGAGAUCAAGAGGAAUACUCAUUGCGAAGGCGACCUGCUAGAACAUAACUGACGCUGAUGCGCGAAAGCGUGGGGAGCAAACAGGAUUAGAUACCCCGGUAGUC
RNAcentral lists this ribosomal RNA (440 nucleotides) under uncultured bacterium. RNAcentral's name for it is "partial 16S ribosomal RNA". It matches the Rfam family "Bacterial small subunit ribosomal RNA", at positions 338 to 795 of the family's 1533-position model. The record is from RNAcentral.